This 904-nucleotide ribosomal RNA is filed under the name Escherichia coli. RNAcentral's name for it is "partial 23S ribosomal RNA". It matches the Rfam family "Bacterial large subunit ribosomal RNA", at positions 344 to 1251 of the family's 2925-position model. RNAcentral also lists the same sequence under 1 other name. Lineage: Bacteria; Pseudomonadati; Pseudomonadota; Gammaproteobacteria; Enterobacterales; Enterobacteriaceae. The record is from RNAcentral.
GGAAAGGCGCGCGAUACAGGGUGACAGCCCCGUACACAAAAAUGCACAUGCUGUGAGCUCGAUGAGUAGGGCGGGACACGUGGUAUCCUGUCUGAAUAUGGGGGGACCAUCCUCCAAGGCUAAAUACUCCUGACUGACCGAUAGUGAACCAGUACCGUGAGGGAAAGGCGAAAAGAACCCCGGCGAGGGGAGUGAAAAAGAACCUGAAACCGUGUACGUACAAGCAGUGGGAGCACGCUUAGGCGUGUGACUGCGUACCUUUUGUAUAAUGGGUCAGCGACUUAUAUUCUGUAGCAAGGUUAACCGAAUAGGGGAGCCGAAGGGAAACCGAGUCUUAACUGGGCGUUAAGUUGCAGGGUAUAGACCCGAAACCCGGUGAUCUAGCCAUGGGCAGGUUGAAGGUUGGGUAACACUAACUGGAGGACCGAACCGACUAAUGUUGAAAAAUUAGCGGAUGACUUGUGGCUGGGGGUGAAAGGCCAAUCAAACCGGGAGAUAGCUGGUUCUCCCCGAAAGCUAUUUAGGUAGCGCCUCGUGAAUUCAUCUCCGGGGGUAGAGCACUGUUUCGGCAAGGGGGUCAUCCCGACUUACCAACCCGAUGCAAACUGCGAAUACCGGAGAAUGUUAUCACGGGAGACACACGGCGGGUGCUAACGUCCGUCGUGAAGAGGGAAACAACCCAGACCGCCAGCUAAGGUCCCAAAGUCAUGGUUAAGUGGGAAACGAUGUGGGAAGGCCCAGACAGCCAGGAUGUUGGCUUAGAAGCAGCCAUCAUUUAAAGAAAGCGUAAUAGCUCACUGGUCGAGUCGGCCUGCGCGGAAGAUGUAACGGGGCUAAACCAUGCACCGAAGCUGCGGCAGCGACGCUGAUGCGUUGUUGGGUAGGGGAGCGUUCUGUAAGCCUG